Molecule: long non-coding RNA, 191 nt
Organism: Hippopotamus amphibius kiboko
Lineage: Eukaryota; Metazoa; Chordata; Mammalia; Artiodactyla; Hippopotamidae
Exons: 3
Source: RefSeq, a predicted model, not a curated record
CUUUUGCCAAGUUGCCUUGAAACUCAGGCGGCUCAUUCACAUCUGUUACCUGGACCGUCAGGACCUGCAGAGAAAGAAACCCAUGGAAAGUGGAGAGAUGUGGAAAGGUGACAAAGCUAUCGGUUUUUGUGGUGGCGGCAGUGGUUUAAAAGAAGACAAGAAAGGAGGGAAAGAGAGAAGGAAGGAAGGGA